This 337-nucleotide unclassified non-coding RNA is filed under the name soil metagenome. RNAcentral's name for it is "partial contains 5.8S ribosomal RNA, internal transcribed spacer 2, and large subunit ribosomal RNA". The stretch from base 1 to 120 matches the Rfam family "5.8S ribosomal RNA", at positions 35 to 154 of the family's 154-position model. The record is from RNAcentral.
GAUGAAGAACGUAGCGAAAUGCGAUAAGUAGUGUGAAUUGCAGAAUUCAGUGAAUCAUCGAAUCUUUGAACGCACAUUGCGCCCCUUGGUAUUCCAUGGGGCAUGCCUGUUCGAGCGUCAUUUGUACCUUCAAGCUCUGCUUGGUGUUGGGUGUUUGUCUCGCCUCUGCGUGUAGACUCGCCUUAAAACAAUUGGCAGCCGGCGUAUUGAUUUCGGAGCGCAGUACAUCUCGCGCUUUGCACUCAUAACGACGACGUCCAAAAGUACAUUUUUACACUCUUGACCUCGGAUCAGGUAGGGAUACCCGCUGAACUUAAGCGUAUCAAUAAGCGGAGGA